AUACGUAGGGUGCAAGCGUUAAUCGGAAUUACUGGGCGUAAAGCGUGCGCAGGCGGUUUUGUAAGACAGUGGUGAAAUCCCCGGGCUCAACCCGGGAACUGCCAUUGUUACUGCAAGGCUGGAGUGGGGCAGAGGGGGGUGGAAUUCCGCCUGUAGCAGUGAAAUGCGUAGAUAUGCGGAGGAACACCGAUGGCGAAGGCAAUCCCCUGGGCCUGCACUGACGCUCAUGCACGAAAGCGUGGGGAGCAAACAGGAUUAGAUACCCUGGUAGUCCACGCCCUAAACGAUGUCAACUGGUUGUUGGGGAUUUAUUUUCUCAGUAACGAAGCUAACGCGUGAAGUUGACCGCCUGGGGAGUACGGCCGCAAGGUUAAAACUCAAAGGAAUUGACGGGG
Molecule: ribosomal RNA, 395 nt
Filed under: uncultured bacterium
Lineage: Bacteria
Description: partial 16S ribosomal RNA
Rfam family: Bacterial small subunit ribosomal RNA
Source: RNAcentral